GCCCUCGUCGUUCAACGGAUAGGACGCGGCCCUGCGAAGGCUGAGAUUGAGGUUCAAUUCCUCACGAGGGCACCA
Molecule: transfer RNA, 75 nt
Filed under: Patescibacteria group bacterium
Lineage: Bacteria
Description: tRNA-Arg
Rfam family: tRNA
About the family: Transfer RNA (tRNA) molecules are approximately 80 nucleotides in length. Their secondary structure includes four short double-helical elements and three loops (D, anti-codon, and T loops).
Source: RNAcentral